RNAcentral lists this unclassified non-coding RNA (368 nucleotides) under uncultured Mollicutes bacterium. RNAcentral's name for it is "contains 16S-23S intergenic spacer region". The record is from RNAcentral. Lineage: Bacteria; Bacillati; Mycoplasmatota; Mollicutes.
UCCAAUUUAUCACUGGCAGUCUUGCUAAAGUCCCCACCAUUACGUGCUGGCAACUAACAAUAAGGGUUGCGCUCGUUGCGGGACUUAACCCAACAUCUCACGACACGAGCUGACGACAACCAUGCACCACCUGUGCAACUGAUAACCUCCACUGUGUUUCUACAGCUUUGCAGAAGCAUGUCAAGACCUGGUGAGGUUUUUCGGGUACCUUCGAAUUAAACAACAUGAUCCACCGCUUGUGCGGAGUCCCGUCAAUUCCUUUAAGUUUCAUACUUGCGUACGUACUACUCAGGCGGAGUACUUAAUGUGUUAACUUCAACACUGGUUUUACCCAACAUUUAGUACUCAUCGUUUACGGCGUGGACUAC